This 285-nucleotide long non-coding RNA is filed under the name Nicotiana benthamiana. RNAcentral describes it as "long non-coding RNA (NBEN_LNC036939)". Lineage: Eukaryota; Viridiplantae; Streptophyta; Magnoliopsida; Solanales; Solanaceae. The record is from RNAcentral.
UGGACUACAAAAAAAAAGGGUCGAGCCACCUUUACAACCUAAAAAUCUAGAGACCUAAAAAGCUAAGGAGACAAAAACAAUAAAAAAGAGAGCUCAAGUUCAUCUCUUUAAAGAAGAGAGCAACGGCAAAACACCAAAAGGACCUCCCCUCCCCCAAACUUUUCUUUCUUCACCAUUACAAAGAGCAGCGGCAGAACACCAAAAGGAUUCCCCCUCCUCCGAACUUUUCUUUCUUCACCGUUACAGAGAGCAGUGGCAGAACACCAAAAGAUUCCCACCCCCCNN